GAGACACCCUUAUGGGGCAGGACUUGCUUCAGUGGGGCUUUGGUGCUCACUGAGUCUGCCUCCUGAAUGUGUCUCU
Non-coding RNA from Myotis lucifugus (little brown bat), 76 nucleotides. The record is from Rfam. NCBI's taxonomy places the organism in Eukaryota, Metazoa, Chordata, Mammalia, Chiroptera, Vespertilionidae.